AGCUUUGUGCAGUGGCAUUGUUGUAGCCAAUGAGGUUUAUCCAGGGCACGAUUAUUGCUAAUUGAAAAAAAAG
This 73-nucleotide small nuclear RNA is filed under the name Canis lupus familiaris (dog). Its description in RNAcentral is "U4 spliceosomal RNA". It matches the Rfam family "U4 spliceosomal RNA", at positions 1 to 73 of the family's 138-position model. From Rfam's summary of the family: U4 small nuclear RNA (U4 snRNA) is a component of the major U2-dependent spliceosome. The structure of U4 snRNA from yeast and human has been reported. Lineage: Eukaryota; Metazoa; Chordata; Mammalia; Carnivora; Canidae. The record is from Rfam by way of RNAcentral. RNAcentral also lists the same sequence under 1 other name.